GGAAGGAUCAUUAACACAUUGUCCAUUUGAUGGUUGUUCCUUUUCUAUGGACCCCCUUACGGGGGAACGUUAGAGGAGCAAUCAUUCAAACCCCUAGCAAACUAGUUGAAGUUUUCAAUAAUAGUUUUUUAAACUAUCCCUAUUGGAAUUCACGUGUAAUCACAUUCAAUGCCUGGGUUGCCUUUGCGGUUUCGCCUUCGCGGCGUUUUUCGCUGGGCUUCCUCGUGGCAUUUGACUGAUGUUUAAUAACAAAAAAAAUACAUAUAACCAAGACAACUUGUAACAGUGGAUACCUUGGUUCCCAGGUCGAUGAAGAGCGCAGCGAACUGCGAUAAGUCAUGUGAAUUGCAGAAUUCCGUGAAUCAUCGAACUCUUGAACGCAAAUUGCACUUAGGUGUCGAACUUAAGUGUGUCUGCUCGAGUGUCGGCAAUAAACUCUCACUUUUUACGAAGUGAUCUUGAGAGCUCAGCGAGGCAACUGGUUGAACUCUUUAAAUGGAUGGUGGACGAUUUCUAAAAAAACCUACAAAGUGACUUUUGUUAAGGAAGGAAGAAUUUGACCCAACCAAAUGAAUUAAGUAGUUUCACUACUCUAUCUCAUUUGUUGUUGACUAAUUCCUCUCUUGCUUGCGAUGACAAUUUUUUGUAUGAAAUCAUCUGUCUCUUGUUAACUUGGCGUACUAACGUUCGCUGUAACAAAUCUAAAACUAAAAUCUCGACCUCGAAUUAGACAAGAUCACCCGGUGGACUUAAGCAUAUUAUUAACCGGAGGAAAAGAAACUAACAAGGAUGCCCUUAGUAACGGCGAGUGAAGCGGGCAUAGCUCAAAUUUAAAAUCUGGGUGCCUUAUGGUACUCCGAAUUGUAGUUUUUGGAUCGUCAGUCACGGGGCUGCUAGUGCGGGAGUAAGUUCUUUGGAACAAGGCAUCAUAGAGGGUGAGAAUCCCGUAUGCGUCUCCGCUAGUAGUUCAAUAGGUGUCUGGCUUUUCACGAGUCGGGUUGUUUGGGAUUGCAGCCCUAAAUAGGUGGUAGAUCUCAUCUAAAGCUAAAUAUUCCUGGGAGACCGAUAGCGAAGAAGUAGUGUGAACGAAAGGUGAAAAGAACUUUGAAAAGAAGGUGAAAAGUACUUGAAGCUGUUCCAAGGGAACCGCAUGGAAUCAGUGACUGCAUGUAGGCAAUUCAGCGUGCCGUUUGCGGACAGUGUCGGCUGCCACGGAGGUGUACGCCCCGGAGCGUCGAGCUGCGAGUAGAGAGCGCGUGUACUUUGCUUGCGUGCGAGUCAGCAUCAGUUUGGUUGGCAGCGGAGAAGGGCGGGAGGAAGGUAGGCCAGGCUCUCGGGUCUGGCUGUUAUAGCCUCCUGUUACAUACGCUGUCCUGGACUGAGGAAACAAAACGCAUGCCUCGGCGAGGUAAUGGGCUGACCCGUGUUGGUGACUGCGUACGUCUGCUUGCAGGGUGCACUGUCGAUCGAUGCGGCAUAAGUUCAUCCAUCUGUGCGUUAGGGAUGCUGACGAAAUGAUUUCAUUCGACCCGUCUUGAAACACGGACCAAGGAGUCUAACAUGUAUGCGAGUAUUUGGGUGGCAAACCCUGAUGCGCAACGAAAGUGAAUUGAUGUGAGAUCUGUCGUUACGAGCAGGUUGCAACAUCGGCCAACUGCUUCUAGGAGCGGAUUGUGUCUGAGCACACAUGAUGGGACCCGAAAGAUGGUGAACUUUGCGUGCGCAGGGUGAAGCCAGAGGAAACUCUGGUGGAGGCUCGUAGAGAUACUGACGUGCAAAUCGUUCUUCAGACGUGCGUAAAGGGGCGAAAGACUAAUCGAACCAUCUAGUAGCUGGUUUACAC
This 1843-nucleotide unclassified non-coding RNA is filed under the name uncultured fungus. RNAcentral describes it as "sequence contains 18S rRNA gene, ITS1, 5.8S rRNA gene, ITS2, 28S rRNA gene". The stretch from base 717 to 1843 matches the Rfam family "Eukaryotic large subunit ribosomal RNA", at positions 1 to 961 of the family's 3401-position model. The record is from RNAcentral. Lineage: Eukaryota; Fungi.